AAGGGCUUAGCUUAGUUAAAGUGGUUUAUUUGCGUUCAAUUGAUGCAGAAUAGAGUCUUGCAGCCCUUA
Pan troglodytes (chimpanzee) is the source of this 69-nucleotide transfer RNA. It matches the Rfam family "tRNA". Rfam says of the family: Transfer RNA (tRNA) molecules are approximately 80 nucleotides in length. The record is from Rfam. NCBI's taxonomy places the organism in Eukaryota, Metazoa, Chordata, Mammalia, Primates, Hominidae.